CCUACGGGAGGCAGCAGUGGGGAAUAUUGCACAAUGGGGGAAACCCUGAUGCAGCGACGCCGCGUGAGUGCGGAAGUAUUUCGGUAUGUCACGCUCUCUCCUCAUUUAAGAAAAUGACGGUACCUGACUAAGAAGCCCCGGCUAACUACGUGCCAGCAGCCGCGGUAAUACGUAGGGGGCAAGCGUUAUCCGGAUUUACUGGGUGUAAAGGGAGCGUAGACGGCUAAUCAAGUCAGAAGUGAAAACCCAGGGCUCAACUUUGGGACUGCUUUUGAAACUGAGUAGCUAGAGUGCAGGAGAGGUAAGCGGAAUUCCUAGGGUAGAGGUGAAAUGCGUAGAUAUUAGGAGGAACACCAGUGGCGAAGGCGGCUUACUGGACUGUAACUGAAGUUGAGGCUCGAAAGCGUGGGGAGCAAACAGGAGUAGAGA
RNAcentral lists this ribosomal RNA (429 nucleotides) under uncultured bacterium. Its description in RNAcentral is "partial 16S ribosomal RNA". It matches the Rfam family "Bacterial small subunit ribosomal RNA", at positions 338 to 784 of the family's 1533-position model. The record is from RNAcentral.